RNAcentral lists this ribosomal RNA (492 nucleotides) under uncultured bacterium. RNAcentral describes it as "partial 16S ribosomal RNA". It matches the Rfam family "Bacterial small subunit ribosomal RNA", at positions 29 to 507 of the family's 1533-position model. The record is from RNAcentral.
AGUGAACGCUGGCGGUAGGCCUAACACAUGCAAGUCGAGCGGCAGCACAGUAAGAGCUUGCUCUUACGGGUGGCGAGUGGCGGACGGGUGAGGAAUACAUCGGAAUCUACUUUUUCGCGGGGGAUAACGUAGGGAAACUUACGCUAAUACCGCAUACGACCUACGGGUGAAAGCAGGGGAUCUUCGGACCUUGCGCGAUUGAAUGAGCCGAUGUCGGAUUAGCUAGUUGGCGGGGUAAAGGCCCACCAAGGCGACGAUCCGUAGCUGGUCUGAGAGGAUGAUCAGCCACACUGGAACUGAGACACGGUCCAGACUCCUACGGGAGGCAGCAGUGGGGAAUAUUGGACAAUGGGCGCAAGCCUGAUCCAGCCAUACCGCGUGGGUGAAGAAGGCCUUCGGGUUGUAAAGCCCUUUUGUUGGGAAAGAAAAGCAGCAGGUUAAUACCCCGCUGUUCUGACGGUACCCAAAGAAUAAGCACCGGCUAACUUCGUG